CCGUACCUACGGGAGGCAGCAGUGGGGAAUAUUGCACAAUGGGGGAAACCCUGAUGCAGCAACGCCGCGUGAGUGAAGAAGUCAUUCGUGAUGUAAAGCUCUAUCAGCAGGGAAGAAAAUGACGGUACCUGAGUAAGAAGCCCCGGCUAACUACGUGCCAGCAGCCGCGGUAAUACGUAGGGGGCAAGCGUUAUCCGGAUUUACUGGGUGUAAAGGGAGCGCAGACGGCUGUGCAAGUCUGGAGUGAAAGGCGGGGGCCCAACCCCCGGACUGCUCUGGAAACUGUAAAGCUGGAGUGCAGGAGG
This 305-nucleotide ribosomal RNA is filed under the name uncultured bacterium. RNAcentral describes it as "bacterial SSU rRNA". It matches the Rfam family "Bacterial small subunit ribosomal RNA", at positions 331 to 655 of the family's 1533-position model. The record is from RNAcentral.